Molecule: ribosomal RNA, 720 nt
Filed under: uncultured bacterium
Lineage: Bacteria
Description: bacterial SSU rRNA
Rfam family: Bacterial small subunit ribosomal RNA
Source: RNAcentral
GGUUUUCGGAUCGUAAAACUCUGUUGUUAGGGAAGAACAAGUACCGUUCGAAUAGGGCGGUACCUUGACGGUACCUAACCAGAAAGCCACGGCUAACUACGUGCCAGCAGCCGCGGUAAUACGUAGGUGGCAAGCGUUGUCCGGAAUUAUUGGGCGUAAAGCGCGCGCAGGCGGUUCCUUAAGUCUGAUGUGAAAGCCCACGGCUCAACCGUGGAGGGUCAUUGGAAACUGGGGAACUUGAGUGCAGAAGAGGAGAGCGGAAUUCCACGUGUAGCGGUGAAAUGCGUAGAGAUGUGGAGGAACACCAGUGGCGAAGGCGGCUCUCUGGUCUGUAACUGACGCGGAGGCGCGAAAGCGUGGGGAGCAAACAGGAUUAGAUACCCCGGUAGUCCACGCCGUAAACGAUGAGUGCUAAGUGUUAGAGGGUUUCCGCCCUUUAGUGCUGCAGCUAACGCAUUAAGCACUCCGCCUGGGGAGUACGGUCGCAAGACUGAAACUCAAAGGAAUUGACGGGGGCCCGCACAAGCGGUGGAGCAUGUGGUUUAAUUCGAAGCAACGCGAAGAACCUUACCAGGUCUUGACAUCCUCUGACAACCCUAGAGAUAGGGCGUUCCCCUUCGGGGGACAGAGUGACAGGUGGUGCAUGGUUGUCGUCAGCUCGUGUCGUGAGAUGUUGGGUUAAGUCCCGCAACGAGCGCAACCCUUGAUCUUAGUUGCCAG